Molecule: ribosomal RNA, 792 nt
Filed under: Weissella cibaria
Lineage: Bacteria; Bacillati; Bacillota; Bacilli; Lactobacillales; Lactobacillaceae
Description: bacterial SSU rRNA
Rfam family: Bacterial small subunit ribosomal RNA
Source: RNAcentral
UGUUNGGAUCAUGGCUCAGGAUGAACGCUGGCGGCGUGCCUAAUACAUGCAAGUCGAACGCUUUGUGGUUCAACUGAUUUGAAGAGCUUGCUCAGAUAUGACGAUGUACAUUGCAAAGAGUGGCGAACGGGUGAGUAACACGUGGGAAACCUACCUCUUAGCAGGGGAUAACAUUUGGAAACAGAUGCUAAUACCGUAUAACAAUAGCAACCGCAUGGUUGCUACUUAAAAGAUGGUUCUGCUAUCACUAAGAGAUGGUCCCGCGGUGCAUUAGUUAGUUGGUGAGGUAAUGGCUCACCAAGACGAUGAUGCAUAGCCGAGUUGAGAGACUGAUCGGCCACAAUGGGACUGAGACACGGCCCAUACUCCUACGGGAGGCAGCAGUAGGGAAUCUUCCACAAUGGGCGAAAGCCUGAUGGAGCAACGCCGCGUGUGUGAUGAAGGGUUUCGGCUCGUAAAACACUGUUGUAAGAGAAGAAUGACAUUGAGAGUAACUGUUCAAUGUGUGACGGUAUCUUACCAGAAAGGAACGGCUAAAUACGUGCCAGCAGCCGCGGUAAUACGUAUGUUCCAAGCGUUAUCCGGAUUUAUUGGGCGUAAAGCGAGCGCAGACGGUUAUUUAAGUCUGAAGUGAAAGCCCUCAGCUCAACUGAGGAAUUGCUUUGGAAACUGGAUGACUUGAGUGCAGUAGAGGAAAGUGGAACUCCAUGUGUAGCGGUGAAAUGCGUAGAUAUAUGGAAGAACACCAGUGGCGAAGGCGGCUUUCUGGACUGUAACUGACGUGNGCUCGAA